CAACAUUCUAUUCAAUUCAGGUUUCCCAGUGUUUGAGUAUUUUAUGAUUUUUAAAUAAUUUUCUAACUAAUGAUGUCAUAUUUAAUUCCACAGUAGUGGGUUUUUUUUGACAUUGAUUUAUAUGGAUGUGAUUUGAGAUCCCUUUGAAUCAAUGACAUGGAAAUGCAAAGAAAUUGAUUGCAUGCUUUUGAAAAUCGUUUUCAGGGUUUUCC
Molecule: long non-coding RNA, 212 nt
Filed under: Bos taurus (domestic cattle)
Lineage: Eukaryota; Metazoa; Chordata; Mammalia; Artiodactyla; Bovidae
Description: long non-coding RNA NONBTAT011957
Source: RNAcentral